CCUACGGGGGGCUGCAGUUUCGAAUCAUUCACAAUGGGCGAAAGCCUGAUGGUGCGACGCCGCGUGAGGGAUGAAGGCCUUCGGGUUGUAAACCUCUGUCACCGGGGAAGAAACGCUGCAUUUCAAUAGAAUGCAGCCUGACUUAACCCGGAGAGGAAGCAGUGGCUAACUCUGUGCCAGCAGCCGCGGUAAUACAGAGACUGCAAGCGUUAUUCGGAUUCACUGGGCGUAAAGGGUGCGCAGGCGGCCAUGUGUGUGAGGCGUGAAAGCCCGAU
RNAcentral lists this ribosomal RNA (275 nucleotides) under uncultured Opitutus sp. RNAcentral describes it as "partial 16S ribosomal RNA". It matches the Rfam family "Bacterial small subunit ribosomal RNA", at positions 338 to 606 of the family's 1533-position model. The record is from RNAcentral. Lineage: Bacteria; Pseudomonadati; Verrucomicrobiota; Opitutia; Opitutales; Opitutaceae.